This 253-nucleotide ribosomal RNA is filed under the name uncultured bacterium. Its description in RNAcentral is "partial 16S ribosomal RNA". It matches the Rfam family "Bacterial small subunit ribosomal RNA", at positions 524 to 776 of the family's 1533-position model. The record is from RNAcentral.
UACAGAGGGUGCAAGCGUUAAUCGGAAUUACUGGGCGUAAAGCGUGCGUAGGUGGUUAGCUAAGUCAGAUGUGAAAGCCCCGGGCUUAACCUGGGAAUUGCAUUUGAUACUGGCUAGCUAGAGUUUGGUAGAGGGAAGUGGAAUUCCAGGUGUAGCGGUGAAAUGCGUAGAUAUUGGGAGGAACACCAGUGGCGAAGGCGGCUCACUGGACCGGAACUGACGCUGAGGCGCGAAAGCGUGGGGAGCAAACAGG